Solanum tuberosum (potato) is the source of this 1703-nucleotide long non-coding RNA. RefSeq lists it as uncharacterized. The record is from RefSeq and is a predicted model, not a curated record. NCBI's taxonomy places the organism in Eukaryota, Viridiplantae, Streptophyta, Magnoliopsida, Solanales, Solanaceae. The transcript is spliced from 3 exons.
UUUAAUAGUUUUGUGCACAGGUUUUGAGGAUAUCAUUGUGGGUAAACCGCAAUUACUCCAUUUCAAUUUGUCAUUACCAAGGUCAUCUAUACUCCAUGGAAAGGCAGAAGAAAAUCAUGGCGGCGGCCAGAGGAGGAGACCGGCUGAGUGAUCUGCCGGAGCCAAUUCCUCUCUAAGUUGUGGGACGCAAAACAAGUUGUGCGAACCAGCCUACUCUCUACACGAUGGCGAUUUCUUUGGAUGCCCGUUCCAUUAUCACUCUGUUUCACUUUCCCCUAUAGUGGAAAUCAAAAUGAUACUGUUGCUUACCUGGCCUCCGUCCAUAGAGAGCUUUAUUAUUGGAAAUCUUGCAAGAAAAUCAAGAGAUUUGAUAUUGGGAGCCUUAGGUAUGACGAGAUUUAUUCUACAGAUGUUGAUUUAUGGAUACAUUUUGCUACUAAAGUUGCAAAUGUUGAAGUAUUUAAACUUUCAUUUAUUACUACAAGUCAACAUUAUUAUGAGUUUCCGCAGUUUGGGUAUAAAAAUUCGUCGUUAAAGGCAUUGGUUUUAAAUCAUUGUCAAUUGAACCCUUGUGGUAGUGUUAAUUGGAGUAAUUUGGUUUCUCUUUCAAUUGGGUUCAUGGAAUUGACGGAUGGUGCUAUGGAAAAGGUAUUAUCUGGUUGCCCUAACUUGGAACGCUUGGAAUUACAAAAAGUUUCGGGCAUACAACGUCUGGAAAUUAGAUCUGUGAAGAUGAUAGUAUUGACGAUAGAAGAGUACUACGAUAAGAAUCAUGAUAUUUGUCUUGAAAUAAUAGCCCCGCAUAUUUGGAAAUUCUGGGAUUGUGUAGUCAGAUACGCAUCGUGCAGAGAAAUGUUUCUUCACUUGUUUAUGCUAUCCUUCGUUUACAUUUUGAUUUUAAGGAUGAGGAAAGCAACUUAGAGAAGGAGUUUAGCUGUUUGAAGGAACUUCUUCAUGGUGUUGCCCAUGUCGAGUGUAUUGAACUGAGUAGCUGGUGCAUCGAGUGCCUGUCCAUUCUGGAGUUGAAAGGGUGGCAGUCUCCACCAUCAAGCCGGAAUUGGUUGGUCCUUAAAUUAGCCGACGACCAGUUGGACUUCCCUGGAAUUUGCAGCUUUCUACAGAGCUCAUUGGAUCUUGAGACAUUGGUCAUUGAUUGGUUUGAGGAUGCAUCAAGAGACCUGCUGUUAAGGUACACAAACGAGGAUAAACAAAUCCGGAGGUUUGAGACACAUAGUUGUAACGGCUCAUUUCCACAUCUGAAGACUGUCAAGAUCGAUAACCUUAGGGGCAACUAAGUGAAAAUAAGUUUGUGCUGCCAUUGGUAAAAUAUUUGCUCAAACAUGCGAUCGUGCUAGAAAAGUUUGUCAUUGCUGCAUCAUUCUUAGGGAGUGAUGCGUUUCCAGAUCAUGCUGAAAUGACACAGGAGUUCCUAAGACUUCCAAGAUCAUCUCCGCACAUUUCAGUUGUCUUUUCUCAUCAAUAACCUUUGACCCCUAUCGUUUUAACCAAUUGCAACAUAUCAAACUAAUUUUGUAAAGAAAGCUAAGCAGUGGAACCUUGGCACAUCGUGUAUGAUGGGGGAUUACAGAAGGAAAGAAAUAGUUUUGUGCUUUGAAGGAAAAGCUUUUUUGUAAACUGAGAAGUCUAUUGUAAUAUAUCUAUAUUUAUUGAGAUUGGCUAUUUGAACUGUCAAUGUUACUAUA